UACAGCCAUAUUAUGUUGAAACACUGGUACUCAUCCGAUCACCGAAGUUAAGCAACGUUGAAUCUUGUCAGUAUCUAGACGGGUGACAGCUUGGGAAUGCCAG
Molecule: non-coding RNA, 103 nt
Organism: Acanthosepion pharaonis
Lineage: Eukaryota; Metazoa; Mollusca; Cephalopoda; Sepiida; Sepiidae
Source: the annotation of a GenBank genome assembly